AGGAAAUGAACCAUAUGACUAUAACAGACAUAAUUUUAACAGAGAACUGUGGCAUAGAUUCAACGAGGUGCUGGAAACAUCCUCAGAGAUUUUCCUCCAUGUUGACCUGAUAGCAUCACACAGUUGCUGCAGAUUUGUCAGCCCCAUGAUGUGGAUCCACAUCCCAAAGGUUACUCCGGUACAUCUGUCCAAGUGGCUGAGACCAUUCCUGCCAUGGCGGUUUACCUAACUGACUUUUAAGCUGACAUGAGGAUGAAGGCGAGGAGCUGUUUGGGGUUGACCCAUGCCCACCAGUUGACUCGGUCCAAUUUUAGUGAGCCUAUUAGAAAUGUAACCUCAGUUUGCUGUUGUUAGCUGACAGGAGUGAUGUCUGGUGUGGUCCUCUGCUUCUGUAACACAUCUGCUUCAAGGUUCAAUGUUUUGUGCUUUCAGAGAUUGAGAGAAUGAACUAGGCAAACCGUAAAGAUGGUUGUGAAAUACUCAACCUGUCUGGCACCAACAACCAUGUCAAGUUUAAAGUCACUUAACUCAACUUUUUUCCCAAUUCUGAUGCUUGGUUUGAACUGAGUGUACCUAAUUAAAAGGCCAGUGAGUGUUUGAUUGCUGGCCAGCCAAAAUCAUAGCGCAAAGGAUUUUGCAUGAAAUUUCUGGGCAGACUUAUAAGUUGCUCUUUUAAAAUAUUUUUUCACUUUAGACAGAGUCCAACUCUUUUCUUUUUCUUUAUGUGAAGAUGUAGGUUAAUGGCUCAAAGCUUCCAGCUCGAUAUUUAACGCAAAGGAAUGAAAAUGACAUUAAUCUUCUCAUCUCAAAGCAAGCUGAACAGUAAUCCUUUGAAAAGAAGAAUAAUAAAAAAUGGUAGAAUUUGUGGCUUGUUUUCAUUGGUACCAGUAAUGUUUGGUACUGACCAGCUGUUUGUAUUUAGGUUUUACUUGUUCUUCUUGUGCUAUUUGCCUUUAUUUGAAAUGUUUUCUUGAUUUAUGUUUUGAUACACAUAAAGAUCAAGCUCUGUUAUUCUCACUUUGGCUCAUGGAUCAAAACAAUUUUUUAUACACACUUUGCCGAUGUUCUUAAUAGUUCUCUAUGAAAACUAACUUAAAUGACUAUUUUAUAGACUUCCAUGUGAAAUGAGAUGUUUGCUAAUUAUGUCCAGAUGACAAAAUACAGACAAAUACAUUUUAAAUGGACCGUUUUUGCAAACAUUUCCGUUGUUAGUGACCUUAUUCAUUCCAAAUUUUCAAUAAAUGUCUUCA
Long non-coding RNA from Oreochromis aureus, 1250 nucleotides. RefSeq lists it as uncharacterized. The transcript has 3 exons. The record is from RefSeq and is a predicted model, not a curated record. Lineage: Eukaryota; Metazoa; Chordata; Actinopteri; Cichliformes; Cichlidae.